This 302-nucleotide long non-coding RNA is filed under the name Brassica napus (rape). Its description in RNAcentral is "long non-coding RNA (BNAP_LNC010603)". Lineage: Eukaryota; Viridiplantae; Streptophyta; Magnoliopsida; Brassicales; Brassicaceae. The record is from RNAcentral.
AGUGGGAGGAGAGAUGGGCAAGGUUCUUCCAUGACCGGGACUCCAAUAACUGAGCAGGUAUGACAUGUCUCUUUGAUGUCAUUGAAACCAGAAUUAAAUUAGUUGAUAGGGUUGAUGGUAGAUUAUGGUUGAGCUUGGUGAUUAAUGGAUGUGAUCGUGUUUGAUAGUAAAUGAUGUUAGAGAAUGGUUGUUUUGGUAAUAAAUAUGGUUUAAUGACUUAGAUAUGUGUCCACUCAAUGUAGUUGGUUGUGUUCAAUGUUAAUUGAUCUUUGCUUGUGAGAUGUUGAUUGAUCUUUGCUUGU